GUACUUACCUGGACGGGGUCUAUGGUUGAUCAUGAAGGAUCAUGGCCUAGGUUGAUGAUCUCCAUUGCACUUAGGAGGAGCAUCAACCUAACGUCUCCCCAAGUGGGAGAGUGUACGUCAUAAUUUAUUACUUUGGGGGUACGCGUUCGCGCGGCCCCUUC
Zostera marina is the source of this 161-nucleotide small nuclear RNA. It matches the Rfam family "U1 spliceosomal RNA". From Rfam's summary of the family: U1 is a small nuclear RNA (snRNA) component of the spliceosome (involved in pre-mRNA splicing). The record is from Rfam. NCBI's taxonomy places the organism in Eukaryota, Viridiplantae, Streptophyta, Magnoliopsida, Alismatales, Zosteraceae.